AUACUAUAUUAUAUUAAUUACAUUUGUAUCCCAUGAGAUUUGUUCCAGCUGUAGAGGAAGUCCCGCUGAACUUGGUAGGAUUGUGAGAAGGGUGAGAGAGAGGGAUGUUGGGAAAUGCCCAGCCAGGCAGGGAGGCUGAUUCAAGUAGGGCUGUUCUUCAGUUCGAUAUGGGUGGACUUAGAAAAUCUCUUGGCCAGUUGCCUUACAACUGAGCAGUACUUGGUAUUACGUCAAGAUAAAGGUACGCCCAAAAGCCAAAGUCUGCUUUAUAGGCAAUUUGUCAUUUUUACAAGCAAGUUUUCAAUCAUGAUCCCAGAUACAGCCACAACAAAUCACCUCCUCUUAUCUACAAACUGUUUUGAGAAUUUUCUGUCUGAGAGUAAUAUACAAUUCAGCAAGUCGUUAAGUACUUCUGCCCACUAGAAAAAGAGGUGGCGAGGACAAAUAUAGAAUUCAGUUACCUUAACAGUUUGCUGAAUAAACUACAAUUGGUUGGAUCUGCACAAGAGAAUGCAUCUAAACAAAACAAAAAAACCUAUUCUAGGGCUUUGUACAAUCUAUGAGCUCCCUAAUGAACUAGCUUAGUUUUGGUAUUGCAUUGUGUUUGAAUAGAUGUGAAUUAAACAGGAACCAUAAGGGAGCCCCAAGGUGAUCAUCCCUUCUCAAAGCUGUUGUAUACCAAAUAGGGCUUUCACAGUCUGUUUUAGGAGCACAUGUUGACAUAUACUGAUCUCCAUCAUAUGUAACAGCAAAUAAAAGUUGAAAAUCAACUUUUAAAUUUUUUAAACUUUUAAUUUAGUCAUCUCUGCAAAUUCCAUCAUCUUCAUCCUCCAUUGUAGUAAUAUCAAAUAUUUCCACUUUUGAGCUAGAAUUGUCUUGUUGCAGUCAUCCAUAUAUAAAAACAAAGUUUCAUGACUUCUUUUCUAAUUGACUGUCCAUUAGUCACAAAAGAAAAGUCUGGUUUCAGAUGUUCUUUAAUUUUUAAAAUCCUCUGAAUUAAUCCAUCCAUUUGUAUUCAAAUUUGUUUAGCUUUUUUACAUGUUCACCAAACAUGGUAAAAUGUCCCUUCAUGUUCUUUGCAUUUCCAGCAAUAAUUCAAAGUAUCUUUAUAUAUUCUAUAAAGUUUCCUCUAGUGACAAACACAAACAAUACAUAAUUUUACAUGAAUUGUUUUUAAGACUAGAACAUAAAGUAACUUUCAGUCCUUUUAGCCACAUCUUUUCCCUUUGAUCCAUUUGUAUAUUAUAGCCAAAGUCUUUAGUCCAUUUUAUUAUACAUUAUUUCACUUGUUCUUCUAUCUCAUUUCAACAAAAGUUUAUACAUUUUAGCAAUAACAUGAUUAUCAUCUCUCUAU
Molecule: non-coding RNA, 1354 nt
Organism: Notechis scutatus (mainland tiger snake)
Lineage: Eukaryota; Metazoa; Chordata; Lepidosauria; Squamata; Elapidae
Source: RefSeq, a predicted model, not a curated record